Molecule: ribosomal RNA, 406 nt
Filed under: uncultured bacterium
Lineage: Bacteria
Description: partial 16S ribosomal RNA
Rfam family: Bacterial small subunit ribosomal RNA
Source: RNAcentral
AUUGAACGCUGGCGGCAGGCCUAACACAUGCAAGUCGAACGCGUGGCGGACGGGUGAGUAAUGUCUGGGAAACUGCCCGAUGGAGGGGGAUAACUACUGGAAACGGUAGCUAAUAACGCAUACCAUCGGAUGUGCCCAGAUGGGAUUAGCUUGUAGGUGAGUGAACGGCUCACCUAGGCGACGAUCCCUAGCUGGUCUGCGAGGAUGACCAGUGACACUGGAACUGAGACACGUGCCAGACUCCUACGGGAGGCAGCAGUGGGAAAUAUGGCACAAUGGGCGGAAGCCUGAUGCAGCAAUGCCGGGUGUAUGAAGAAGGCCUUCGGGUUGUAAAGUACUUUCAGCGAGGAGGCGUUACCCGCCUAAGAAGCACCGGCUAACUCCGUGCCAGCAGCCGCGGUAAUUC